GAAAUGCGAUAAGUAAUGUGAAUUGCAGAAUUCAGUGAAUCAUCGAAUCUUUGAACGCACCUUGCGCUCCUUGGUAUUCCUUGGAGCAUGCCAGUUUGAGUAUCAUGAAAUCUUCAAAGUAAAUCUUUUGUUAACUCAAUUGGUUUCUACUUUGGUAUUGGAGGUCUUUGCAGCUUCACACCUGCUCCUCUUUGUUCAUUAGCUGGAUCUCAGUGUUAUGCUUGGUUCCACUCGGCGUGAUAAGUUAUCUAUCGCUGAGGACACUGUAAAAGGUGGCCAAGGUAAAUGCAGAUGAACCGCUUCUAAUAGUCCAUUGACUUGGACAAUACUUUUAUGAUCUGAUCUCAAAUCAGGUAGGACUACCCGCUGAACUUAAGC
RNAcentral lists this unclassified non-coding RNA (378 nucleotides) under plant metagenome. RNAcentral's name for it is "partial contains 5.8S ribosomal RNA, internal transcribed spacer 2, and large subunit ribosomal RNA". The stretch from base 1 to 105 matches the Rfam family "5.8S ribosomal RNA", at positions 50 to 154 of the family's 154-position model. The record is from RNAcentral.